CCAAAUUUGCUCAGGCCAAUCUACACCCCAUGGCCAUUCAAAGUUGUAAAAAUCAUGACGCUGCACCCCACGGUUUACGUUCUAGGGGGCGCCAAAGAUGACCCAAAAAUCCACAUUCUUAAAGGAAUCCACAUCCCCCCCCCAAGGCAGGAGAAAAAGUCAAGUUAACCCUGCCCAUCGCUCAAUGGCUCAAUCGCAUCGCUCUCCAGGCAACACCGUAAAGAGGAGCAACCUGCCAUUUCGAUAUAUCAUAGCUGUGUUUGUGCCCUCACUCAUGGUCCAGACUUUUUUCAAAUAGGACAUGAAGUUUGUCUGCAGCGAGUGUUUUGGUAGAAACUGCGCCUCCCAUUCAUUAUAAUGGGAAAUGACCACAGACAAGUGCGCACACCAUCUUUGGACCUUGAGUGUGACGCGAUCGGGAGGGGGAGGCGGUCGCGCUGGGGGCGGCGCGACGCGGCUCGGGCCCGACAGUGCCCCACCGGGGCCCUAGUUAGGGCCCGAGCCAGCUGCAGAGCAGCCGGGCGUAGGCCCUAUUAUUCCCCAAGUGGUUUUUCUUUGUUUCUUUCUUUCUUUCUUUCUUUCUUUAGGGCCCGAGCCAGCUGCAGAGCAGCCGGGCGUAGGCCCUAUUAUUCCCCAAGUGGUUUUUCUUUGUUUCUUUCUUUCUUUCUUUCUUCUUUUUCCUCCCCUUUGAACUGGAAAAUGGCCCACUUCCCACUGGCGAAAACUCAUGAAAUUUGGCAGGACGACCGGGCCUGGUGAAAAAUUCGAUAUUCUGAAGUCGCCCAAACAAUAAAAUGCAAAAUGGCUCCAUAGCGCCCCCUAAGGUGGAAAUUCACACUAUUGACUGUCACGCCUGUACGCUUUGUCAUAUUGACACAAAAAUUGACACACAUAUGUAUCUUAAUAAGAUCUACAAAAAAGUCAGUGCGGCCGUAUCUGUCCAAAUUACGGUUAAAGGGUUAUUUCGCAUUUUUUGCCGAUCCGCACACAUUGGAAUUUCGCUAACUCCUCCGAAGGCUUUCGUUCCACCGGCACCACAUUUGCUCAGGCCAAUCUACACCCCAUGGCCAUUAAAAGUUAUUCAAAUCAUGACGCUGCACCCCACGGUUUAGGUUCUAGGGGGCGCCAAAGAUAACCCUAAAAUCCACAUAUUUCAAAGUCUUAUAACUUUUUAUUUUUGUCCUCACUGGCCUCCAAGUUUUCUAGGAUGAUGCAAUGUCCAGCCAUCAACACAUUUGUGAAGGAAUUUUUACUCCCCAAAAGAGCGCCCCCCCAUGGCAGAAGAAAAAAGUCCAUUUUUUCUUGUCCCCUAAGGUGAAAAUACACAUUGUUGAGUGUCACGCCUAUACGCUUUGUCAAAAUGACACAAAAAUUGACACACACAUGUAACUCAAUAAGAUCUACGAAAAAGUCAAUGCGCGCGUAUCUGUCAAAUGUACGGUUAAAGGGUUAUUCCGCAUUUUUUGCCGAUCCGCACACAUUGGAAUGUGGCUAACUCCUCCUAAGGCUUUCGUUCCACCGGCACCACAUUUGCUCAGGCCAAUCUACACCCCAUGGCCAUUAAAAGUUAUUCAAAUCAUGACGCUGCACCCCACGGUUUAGGUUCUAGGGGGCGCCAAAGAUAACCCUAAAAUCCACAUAUUUCAAAGUCUUAUAACUUUUUAUUUUUGUCCUCACUGGCCUCCAAGUUUUCUAGGAUGAUGCAAUGUCCAGCCAUCAACACAUUUGUGAAGGAAUUUUUACUCCCCAAAAGAGCGCCCCCCCAUGGCAGAAGAAAAAAGUCCAUUUUUUCUUGUCCCCUAAGGUGAAAAUACACAUUGUUGAGUGUCACGCCUAUACGCUUUGUCAAAAUGACACAAAAAUUGACACACACAUGUAACUCAAUAAGAUCUACGAAAAAGUCAAUGCGCGCGUAUCUGUCAAAUGUACGGUUAAAGGGUUAUUCCGCAUUUUUUGCCGAUCCGCACACAUUGGAAUGUGGCUAACUCCUCCUAAGGCUUUCGUUCCACCGGCACCACAUUUGCUCAGGCCAAUCUACACCCCAUGGCCAUUAAAAGUUAUUCAAAUCAUGAUGCUGCACCCCACGGUUUAGGUUCUAGGGGCGCCAAAGAUAACCCUAAAAUCCACAUAUUUCAAAGUCUUAUAACUUUUUAUUUUUGUCCUCACUGGCCUCCAAGUUUUCUAGGAUGAUGCAAUGUCCAGCCAUCAACACAUUUGUGAAGGAAUUUUUACUCCCCAAAAGAGCGCCCCCCCAUGGCAGAAGAAAAAAGUCCAUUUUUUCUUGUCCCCUAAGGUGAAAAUACACAUUGUUGAGUGUCACGCCUAUACGCUUUGUCAAAAUGACACAAAAAUUGACACACACAUGUAACUCAAUAAGAUCUACGAAAAAGUCAAUGCGCGCGUAUCUGUCAAAUGUACGGUUAAAGGGUUAUUCCGCAUUUUUUGCCGAUCCGCACACAUUGGAAUUUCGCUAACUCCUCCGAAGGCUUUCGUUCCACCGGCACCACAUUUGCUCAGGCCAAUCUACACCCCAUGGCCAUUAAAAGUUAUUCAAAUCAUGACGCUGCACCCCACGGUUUAGGUUCUAGGGGGCGCCAAAGAUAACCCUAAAAUCCACAUAUUUCAAAGUCUUAUAACUUUUUAUUUUUGUCCUCACUGGCCUCCAAGUUUUCUAGGAUGAUGCAAUGUCCAGCCAUCAACACAUUUGUGAAGGAAUUUUUACUCCCCAAAAGAGCGCCCCCCCAUGGCAGGAGAAAAAAGUCCAUUUUUUCUUGUCCCCUAAGGUGAAAAUACAUAUUGUUGAGAUUCACGCCUAUACGCUUUGUCAUAUUGACACAAAAUUUGACAAUCACGUGCCUUGCCUGGUAUCCUUUUUUUCAGCACAACCUCACCUGUGCGAAUUUACAGUUAUUUUAUCAUGUUGACAUACUGAAUUUACACAAUGGACCCAAAUUCACACACAAAACAUAAAAUCCGAGUGGAAAAAAGUAACAUUUUUACUGUGAAAACCACAAAUAUGUGUGAUGAACUGUUUUUAAAACUUAAACUUCAAAUAAAAAUUGUAAACUUCAAAACAUAUGCAAAUUUUUAACAAAGAACAUAGUGAUUUACCUCUAUUUACAUCAAAAUGCAGGCAAUGGCCCAGGCGUUCUUUGUAAAAUUAUUUACAAAACACUGUAUAGUCUCACAAAUGUCACUUUUUAUUUAUGCCACUACAAAAAAACAUGAUGUAAAUGAUGCAUGAUGUAAAACAUGAUGUAAAAAACUUGUGUAGAUCCUCCUCUAUGUCAGUCCAUGUGUAAUUUUUCCAUAAUUCUUUGUUUUUUGCAGCAUUUUUGUUAGUGUAACUGCAGAUUGUGCUGACAGUGUCUAUGGCACAAAAAAAAAAAAAUUAAAAUGCCUCAACAUGAACCCCUGGUGGUCUCUGAGGGUGAAACCUGCUAACUGCUGCAGCUCUGUCAGCUUCAGUCUCCCAUGCAGAGCUCUGAGCGCAUGUGUGGCUCUGCACCCUUAGCAGCGUUGCUAACUCCUCAGUAAGGAAAGCCUGCUUCAUGUCAGAGUCUCUAAACUCCAGAAGAAGUUGAUAAAAUUCCCUUUCUUUCUAAAAAAAAAAGUCGUUAGGGGGGUCUGAAAAGUCAUUGAAUCUAACAACAAAGUCGCUAGGUUUGCAACUACGUGUCCCAGACUGCAUCCCUGCUGAGAGUCCCUCCCUCGCUUCUCAUGUUGCAGGAAGAACGUAAGCGCCCUCCCCUUGUCAAUCAGUCACCAUAUAAUUUUGGAUUGGUUGUUGUGGUGAAGUUUUCCACCAAUAGGAGAGAUGUUGUGGUGUGUUUUUUUUUUCUUCUGGCAAGCCUUUUCCGCCUGUAAGACCUGUCGCUAAUGUCUGCAUGCUAUGUUUUCCUGUCUCAUACAGCGCGAUCGAGCGCCGAACGUGAUCAAAAUAAGCAGAAAAAAAGUAUCGCGGACAUAAUUUAUCAUAACUCUGGUUUUAUUUGGCCUAUCAACACAAUUUAAAAACUGGUAUAUAGGUUGAGGUCCUCACUUUUGAGAUAAGUUGAAACGGAGAGUCAACGAGGCUCCGUCU
This is a non-coding RNA of Xyrichtys novacula (pearly razorfish), 4084 nucleotides long. The record is from the annotation of a GenBank genome assembly. Lineage: Eukaryota; Metazoa; Chordata; Actinopteri; Labriformes; Labridae.